Molecule: long non-coding RNA, 499 nt
Organism: Numida meleagris (helmeted guineafowl)
Lineage: Eukaryota; Metazoa; Chordata; Aves; Galliformes; Numididae
Exons: 2
Source: RefSeq, a predicted model, not a curated record
CCCUCCGCCCGGCCCCCUCCCGCCGGCCGGCGGGGGCAACGGCCGAGGGGCGGGUUCCCGCUGCGGGGAGGGGGAGGCCGGGCUGGAUGGCCCCGUAGCAGUGCGAGGAUCCGGUCCUGGGAAGCGCGCCGCUCGGGUGCUCCAACGCCGAACGCGGUGCUGGCGUUCACGUAGCUGUUUGCUGUAACGAAACAGGUCUGGCCCGACGGAGAUAACGCCUGUCCCAGCGGCGAUUCGCUCUUCCUGCAAGCUGCAGCGCGCUGUCGGAGUUACGGGCUGUUCUCAAAUGCUUUCUUACUGAAAUGCAAGCACCUUUACUGCAUGGGGGCUGAUUGUGUAAGCCUGAUAAAAUUACUGGUCUACCUAUAAAUGAAACUGGAUAACCGAGAGGAGCAUGAACAUCAGCAAUAAUCCUGGGCUGUCGGCACUUGGGUAACCAUUCUGGGUAUUUGGUUUGCUUUAUCUGCAGUCGCACUCAUUAAAAGAUGUGUGGUCUCCA